GCCAGUGUGGAGUAGUGGUUGGAGUGUUAGAUUAUGACUCUGGAGACCAGGGUUCAAUUCCCCACUCAGCCA
This is a non-coding RNA of Phrynosoma platyrhinos (Desert horned lizard), 72 nucleotides long. The record is from the annotation of a GenBank genome assembly. Lineage: Eukaryota; Metazoa; Chordata; Lepidosauria; Squamata; Phrynosomatidae.